AUUGAACGCUGGCGGCAUGCUUUACACAUGCAAGUCGAACGGUAACAGGUUAAGCUGACGAGUGGCGAACGGGUGAGUAAUGCAUCGGAACGUGCCCGAUCGUGGGGGAUAACGCAGCGAAAGCUGCGCUAAUACCGCAUACGAUCUGAGGAUGAAAGCGGGGGACCGUAAGGCCUCGCGCGAUCGGAGCGGCCGAUGUCAGAUUAGGUAGUUGGUGGGGUAAAGGCUCACCAAGCCGACGAUCUGUAGCUGGUCUGAGAGGACGAUCAGCCACACUGGGACUGAGACACGGCCCAGACUCCUACGGGAGGCAGCAGUGGGGAAUGUUGGACAACGGGCGCAAGCCUGAUCCAGCAAUGCCGCGUGCAGGAAGAAGGCCUUCGGGUUGUAAACUGCUUUUGUACGGAGCGAAAAGGCUCUCUCUAAUACAGGGGGCUCAUGACGGUACCGUAAGAAUAAGCACCGGCUAACUACGUG
RNAcentral lists this ribosomal RNA (477 nucleotides) under uncultured bacterium. Its description in RNAcentral is "partial 16S ribosomal RNA". It matches the Rfam family "Bacterial small subunit ribosomal RNA", at positions 30 to 507 of the family's 1533-position model. The record is from RNAcentral.